RNAcentral lists this small RNA (398 nucleotides) under Pan troglodytes (chimpanzee). RNAcentral describes it as "processed transcript". The record is from RNAcentral. Lineage: Eukaryota; Metazoa; Chordata; Mammalia; Primates; Hominidae.
GCUCACUGCAACCUCCACCUCCCGAGUUCAAGUGAUGCUCCUGCUUCAGCCUCCUGAGUAGCUGGGACUACAGAACUGCGUAGCGCCUUAUACGGUGCGGCAAGUGUGACGUCAUUCGAACAAACCAUAGGCCCCGCCCCCGGACGCAGCCACGCCCACAGGCUCCUGAAACCACCACUCCCAGCUGUGACAGCGCUCAGGACCGAUGCUCAUAGGUCCCGUCCCUAGGAUCCCCGCCCCCUCCGCCCGCGCCCCGCCCCUCGCAGCCCAGUUCCGGACGCGGGCCCAGCCGCGCCUGCGCCUCCGCUCGUGUGUGGCUGCGUCGCGCGCUCUUCCUCCGAGGUACCCAGGCGGCUGGUGUGCAGCAAGGUCCGUGCCGACCCCUGACGCCUGUCCCC